GGCAAGACUGCUCCCACUCCGCCAGCUCUUUGGGAGUUGGGACUGAUACCUGAGUGGGAAGGCGGGAUGCGACCCCGCUGGACAGCUGCAAGGACACGUGGACGAGUGGCUCUCUCUCGCCCGCUUGUAACACCCGCCGUACAGAGGCCUUUGACCUCGACCGAAUAACAGAGCAAUCGAGAAUAAACACGGCAAAGGAACCUGCCGAAGGAAACCAUCUGCCAGGCUUCCACUCGUCACGCGCCGCUGAUGGCCCAGUGAGCCGCCGCUCGGCAUGCUGUGCGUCGUGAUCACCGGAACGGAUGUUAAAGGAGAUUUGGUCGGAGUUGAAAUCUUUGGCCCUGCUCUUCAUCGC
This is a long non-coding RNA of Syngnathoides biaculeatus (alligator pipefish), 355 nucleotides long. RefSeq lists it as uncharacterized. The record is from RefSeq and is a predicted model, not a curated record. The transcript is spliced from 3 exons. NCBI's taxonomy places the organism in Eukaryota, Metazoa, Chordata, Actinopteri, Syngnathiformes, Syngnathidae.